UUGAACGCUGGCGGCAGGCCUAACACAUUCAAGUCGAACGGUAACAGGAAGAAGCUUGCUUCUUUGCUGACGAGUGGCGGACGGGUGAGUAAUGUCUGGGAAACUGCCUGAUGGAGGGGGAUAACUACUGGAAACGGUAGCUAAUACCGCAUAACGUCGCAAGACCAAAGAGGGGGACCUUCGGGCCUCUUGCCAUCGGAUGUGCCCAGAUGGGAUUAGCUAGUAGGUGGGGUAACGGCUCACCUAGGCGACGAUCCCUAGCUGGUCUGAGAGGAUGACCAGCCACACUGGAACUGAGACACGGUCCAGACUCCUACGGGAGGCAGCAGUGGGGAAUAUUGCACAAUGGGCGCAAGCCUGAUGCAGCCAUGCCGCGUGUAUGAAGAAGGCCUUCGGGUUGUAAAGUACUUUCAGCGGGGAGGAAGGGAGUAAAGUUAAUACCUUUGCUCAUUGACGUUACCCGCAGAAGAAGCACCGGCUAACUCCGUG
RNAcentral lists this ribosomal RNA (489 nucleotides) under uncultured bacterium. Its description in RNAcentral is "partial 16S ribosomal RNA". It matches the Rfam family "Bacterial small subunit ribosomal RNA", at positions 30 to 507 of the family's 1533-position model. The record is from RNAcentral.